This 10564-nucleotide long non-coding RNA is filed under the name Gossypium barbadense (sea-island cotton). Its description in RNAcentral is "long non-coding RNA (GBAR_LNC007420)". Lineage: Eukaryota; Viridiplantae; Streptophyta; Magnoliopsida; Malvales; Malvaceae. The record is from RNAcentral.
AAGCCCACUAUGGUUGGGGAUUACCUGCGUGGAUGAAAAUAAAAGGGGUGAGUUUGGGGAAACUCAGUGUGUAAAAUAACCCAACCAUAGUCUAAAUCAGCUCAACCCACAGAAACAGAAUAAGUUGGCCUUAGCCCAGAACAGAAAUUCAGAAUAAAGCCCAUAGGCCCAUAACAGAACAGAACAGAUAUUACAUGUUUAUGCAGAAACCCAACCAUAUCCAACCGUAUACACCCCCGUACCAACCUUACACCGUGUGGGGAGACAACUCGACCCACCCAACCACUACACACUAUAGAAUUUGCAGCAUGGCUACCAGAACAGAUAAUGUGACAGAGUCACCAGAUAUAGAUAAUCGUGGCAGAGCCACCAGAACAGAUAUAUGUGGCAGAGCCACCAGAUCAGAUAAUCGUGGCAGAGCCACCAGAACAGAUAUAUGUGGCAGAGCCACCAGAUCAGUUAAUCGUGGUAGAGCCACCAGAACAGAUAUAUGUGGCAGAGCCACCAGAUCAGAUAUUUGUGGCAUAGCCACCAGGACGCUUCCUCCAUAAUAUAACCCAUGUCCCCAGGCAACAGAAAUAAUAUGUCAUGGCAUACAUAUACUGAAACAGAACAUCAAGCUUUUCAGAAAAAAAUAACCCUAGGGGUAUAACGAUAAUUUUGCAUACAUAGGGGUGUUCAAGUAAUUUCACUAUUCUUAAGGUUUUCAUACAUAACAUAGCCAUUUAUGUACGAUCAGAAACACUUACCGCGUUUUCUUACCAACUUCGGCCCGUUGACCCAUUAUCCUGUUUUUGGCCCAUUAAGCCCUAAAACAUCGAAAUGCACGGAAUCGCGCACUCUGCAGUCUUAUCACUUUAAUUUACCAUAUACAUCAAACUAUUAAUCUCAUGAGCAUUAGCACACUCGCAAGAUCUCAAAAUACCGGCUUUUCGGCUUUUGCCGAUCUAGUCUAUAAGAGGGUGUUAGUUACACACCUGUUUGCGACGAUAUGAUGAUGAGAUCCACACACGAACCGCCUUCAAUUUUCUUCCCCAAGUGACCGAACAUUCAAGAGCUUUCUCCUCUCCUUUCUCUUCUCUAACUUUCGGUUAUGAUGAAUAAAGAUGGACAAAACUUGUUCUUUUCACCCCUUUUUCUUUUAAUAAAAUUUCAUAUAUCAUCCAUUUAAUUCUUUAAUACAAAAGACAUCAUGAAACAUUUACCUAACCCAUUAUCAUGGAACAUUUACCUAACCCAUUAUCAUGGAACAUUUGCCUAACCCAUUAUCAUGAAACAUUUACCUAACCCAUUAUCAUGGAACAUUUACCUAACCCAUUAUCAUGGAACAUUUACCUAACCCAUUAUCAAUUUGUAUCAAUUUUUACCAUAAAUUAUGGAUAUCAAGUGCACAUUUUGUCUACAACAACAUGAUGGCUGGCCACUUCAUGUAAAAUGGGAGGUUUGUCAUGCAAAUCCUCCUAUUUUGCACUCCUAUUUAUUUGGCCACUUCAAUUUAGCCUAUAGCAUUUUCAAACAUUUUCACAUAGGUUCUAUUUCAUAAUUUCACCCCCUUUUUCUUAUGGAACAAAAAUUAACUAAAAUUGCCGGGUUCUAUCUUAAGCUUGGGCCUUCUAGAGGCCCACUAACAUAAUUAAACCUAUGCCAACAUUCACAAAAUUCCUGAAAAUUGGGGCGUUACAACUCUUCCCUCCUUAAAGAAAUUUCGUCCUCAAAAUUUACUUGAUCCAACUAGUUGAGGGUAUUGUUGACGCUUAGUCUCUUCUGAUUCCCAAGUAGCUUCUUCCCUUCCAUGAUUACGCCAAAGUACUUUCACUAACGGGACAGAUUUCCUUCUGAGAACCUUAACAUCUCGAGCCAAUAUUUGCACAGGCUCCUCCUCAAAGGUCAAAUCAGUCUGAACUUCAAUUUCUGCAACUGGCAGAACAUGAGCAGGGUCAGAACGAUAACGCCUUAACAUGGAGACGUGAAAAACAUCGUGAAUCCUGUCUAACUCUGGAGGCAAUUCCAACUGAUAAGCCAUUGGGCCUACUCGCUUCAAAACCUGAUAAGGCCCAAUGAACCGCGGACUCAACUUGCCCUUCUUACCAAACCUUAAUAUUUUCUUCGAAGGAGAAACCUUUAAGAAAACCAUAUCACCUACUGAGUACUCAAUCUCCUUACGCUUCAAAUCUGCAUACGACUUUUGCCUAUCAGAUGCUUCUCUUAACCGGUCCCUAAUUAUUCUGACCUUAUCCUCAGUAUCAGCUACCAACUCUGGUCCAAGAACUUGUCGCUCUCCUAGUUCAGUCCAACAACUAGGUGUACGACACCUUCGUCCAUACAGUGCUUCAUACGGUGCCAUUCGAAUACUCGCCUGGUAACUGUUAUUGUACGCAAAUUCUGCCAACGGCAAGUGAUCCUCCCAACUACCUCGAAAAUCAAUCACGCAUCCCCUCAACAUGUCCUCCAGAAUUUGAAUAAUCCUCUCCGACUGACCAUCAGUUUGGGGAUGGAAAGCCGUACUAGAGUUCAAUCGCGUCCUCAACGCCUCAUGCAACUUUUGCCAAAAUCGAGAUGUGAAUCUGGGAUCCCGGUCGGAGACAAUCGAAACUGAGACUCCAUGAAGUCGUACAAUCUCCACCACAUAUAGCUUGGCUAGCUUUUGAAGCGAAAAGUUAGUACGUACAGGUAUGAAAUGGGCUGAUUUGGUCAACCUAUCCACAAUCACCCACACCGAGUCUUUCUUUUAUGGUGUCAAAGGCAACCCACUCACAAAGUCCAUGGUUACCCUCUCCCACUUCCAGAAUGGUAUCUUCACCGGCUGUAACAGUCCAGAAGGUAAUUGAUGCUCAGCUUUCACUUGUUGGCAUGUCAGACAUUUUCCUACAAACUCCGUUACUUCUCGCUUAAGUCUAGGCCACCAGUACAAUUCUCGCAAUUCGUGAUACAACUUAUUCCCUCCAGGAUGCAUGGCACAUAGUCCCCCAUGAGCUUCCUUCAAUAUUGUCUGCCUUAAAUCAGAGUCCCUUAGAACACAAAUUUUUCCUCGGAAACACAGAACUCCAUCACCAUUUAAGCCGAACUCAGAAGUUUCCCCUUCCUUAACUUAUUGAAAACGAGCAACCAAAGACUCAUCUUCCAAUUACUUUUCCUUAAUCUGGUCCACCCAGGUUGGCCUUACUUGCAAUUCAGCCAACAAACUACCAUCAUCAUACAGACUCAAACGAGCAAACAUUGCUCUCAGAUCAGAUACAGUUCUACGACUUAGAGCAUUGGCUACCACAUUAGCCUUGCCUGGGUGAUACUCGAUCGAACAAUCAUAAUCCUUAAGUAACUCAAUCCAUCUCCUUUGCCUAAGGUUCAAUGUGACAGCCCAAAAUUGACCCUAGUCGGGAAGUGGUUUCGGGACCGCUAAACCGAGUCACCGAAAUGUUCGAAUGAGAUAUUUAUUGUCUAGAAUAUGUAAUUAUGAAUGUGUGAAAAUUUCAAGCUUUGAUUUAGUCGAUUGCAUGUGAGUUUUAGUAAAUAGGACUUAUGUGAGAAAAUUUUGAAAUGUGAUAGGUCAAAGCAUAAGGACCUAUUAGUGCAUGUUGAAAAAUGGGGGACUUGCAUGUCAAUUUCCCCCCUCUAUUAGUAGUGGCCGGCCAUGACAAGUAUGGUAGACCAAGUGUGAUGGGCAAGACAUGUCAUAGACAUGUUGUGUUGGUGCAUCAUGGGUGGAAACAAUAAAAUAAUGAGCAUGGUGAUUAAAUAAUGAAAGGGAGGAGUGAUGAAAAAAAAAAGAAUGGUCUCAUCCAUGCCCCCCCCAUUUCCGUGAGUAAAAGAAAAGAAAAGAAAAGAAAAAUUUUGUUCAUCCUUUUUCAUCUUCUUUUGGCCGAAAAUUCUAAGGAAGGAGGAAGGAGUUCUUGCUUCAUGUUUGGUUUGGAAGAGGAUUAGGAGGAGGUUUGGCCAUACUUGUAUCUAGAUCAAGGUAUGUUUGAGGUUGUGCCAUGAGAUUCAUGCAUGUUUUUAGUUGCUAGCUUGAGUUCUAAUUAGCCCAUGGUUCAAAUCUUUGCUAUGUCAUAGGGAUGAUAUUCGGCCUAGGUGGAUUUUGUGUUAGUGCCAUUGCAUGCUAAAUAUGAAGCUUGUUAAUGAUACAUGUGAUGGUGGAUUGAUGACUCUUGGAUUUUCUUUUUAGCAUUUUUGAGUGAGCACAUAUGUGCAUUGGUUGCUAGAUGGAGAAAAAUCGGCUAGCAAGUUGUGUGCUAAGGCCGAAUAUAAUUUUUGUAUAUUAAUGAGUAAUGCAUGUGUUAAAUUGAUGGAAAGGGAGAGGAUGCUUUACUAGCGUAUAUAUGUGUGUAUUAGCCAAGUUUUGAACUUGAAACAAAAUGGUGUUUAGUUAAUACAAGUGACCAUACUUGUAGAAUGUAUUAAGUGUUGCAAUCGGCCCCAACAUAGACAUGCAUAUUCGGCCAUAGGAAGGAGAUUGGUGUUGCAUGUAUUCGGUUAGAGGCAAGCAUAUUGAUGCUUUUGUCUUGGCUUAGAAAAUUCGGCCAAGGGGGAAAAUUAGCUAAAAUGUUGAGUUUGAUUCAUGAUUUCCGUACAUAUGUGACUUUAAUGUCUAAUGUAUAAAUAUGGGCUAAGUGCCUUGUGUUCCUCUUUUCGAUGCUCAAAUGAUUAAAUCAAUUUAUUUGUUUAAUUAAGCUCAAGAGCAAAGGGGAACUAAAUCCGAUAAAGGGAAGGAAAAAGUGGUCGAAUAGCUAUCGGAAUCGUUUGACAACAUCCGAGGUAAGUUCUUGAGUAAAAGAGCUUAAAUUAUGAUUUGAUUAGAUCAUGUUUUAAGCAAAUCAAAAUCAUGCUCUUUGUGUGUGGCUAUUGAGCCGAAAUUGCAAGAAUGAUAAGUGUCUUGUGUUUGAGUUUUGCUAACGAAAACGAAAUACGAAUGUGCCAUGAUUUAUUGUUAAAUGUGCAUGGUUAUUUGAAUGAUGUCCGAGCUAAGUCCCGAAGGCUUUGUGCUAGGUGACCAUAUCCGGACUAAGAUCCGAAGGCAUUUGUGCGAGUUACUAAAUCCGGGUUAAGUCCCGAAGGCAUUUGUGCGAGUUACUAUAACCGGGCUAUGUCCCGAAGGCAUUUGAACGAGUAGCUAUAUCCGGUUAAAUUCCGAAGGUACGUGAUUUGGGAAUGAAUGAUCUUGCUGUAAAAAUUUCAGUUAAUACGCUUGAAACAUCCCAACAUUAAGGUAUGUUUCGUAUGUGCUUUGAAUUAGUUGAGCCCUUACAAAUAAGUAUUUGCUCAGUUGAUAAAUGAGCUACCGGCCUUUGGCUAAGUUGAUCUUUGUGUAUGAAUAAAAGGGUUGGUAAUGUGAAGUAAGUAUGAUAUUGAAAAAUUGUGCAUAUGAAAUUAUCCGUUUAGCUACAUGAAUGCUAUACUUUUGUUGUGCUGGAAUCCCUUGCUCAAAACUUACUAAGCAUAAAUUGCUUACUCCGUCUCCUUGAUUCUCUGUUUUAUAGAUUUUGGUUCUCCAGCUAUCGGACUCGGGAUUUUGAAGUCGAAGUCGCCCACACUAUCAAAGCCCCCCCCUUUUGGUACAAUUUUGGUUGAACUUCGAAAUGGCAUGUAUAGGACUACCCUUUUUGUUGGGGGUCAUGGACCUUUUGGACUUGUAUAAUUUUGGAUAGCCAUGCGAAAAUGGCUUAUAUAUGUUUGAGUAUAAUGUUAUAAUCAUUUGGUAUGGAUAUGGUUAUUGAGAGGUGUGGAUAUGCUUAACAAGGAUUGGCCAUGGGAAUGGUUAAUCACUAUCAUAAUUUGUGCUAUUUAUGCUAAAAGGGCUAGUUGAAUCAUGGAAACUAUGAAAUAGGUAAAGUCUACCUUAAAGGCAGAUGCUGACAGCAGCAGUGAUGUAGAUUUGGAAAAUCACUAAAAAUAGUAGGAAGGUAAUUAAAUAGUGAAUAAAGUAUGUAAACGAACCUUGAUGAAUCUAUUUUCAUAGGGAAGUAACGAAACGAUCAUAUGGACAGUAUGUUAAGAGAUAUUCAGGUUCUCGUAAGACAGGGCCAGAACGGUUUCUGGAUUUCCUGUUUCGACUUUGGAAAUUCAUUAUAAAUUAACCGGAGAUAAUUAGGAGUCAUGCCAUAUAUUUAUAGAUUCCUCUUUGAGUCUAGUUUCUAUAGAAACAAUCGACAUCAGUAUUGAAUCCCUGUACAGGGAGAUAUCCAAGUCGUAAUGUGCAAAGGUCAAUGUAGUCGAUCCCUGUAACAUGGGAGACUUUUACUAAUAAACUGUACUAAUUGGCCCAACUAAAAAUUCUAGAAAAAAAUAUGUAGAUGGGAAUAUGAGUCUAGUUUUAGGAAAAAUUUACGGAACUGGAUUCUGAGUUUCUGAACUCAAGAUAUGAUUUUUUAAGCGACUAGUACGCAGAUUGGCAGUGUCUGGGAAAUUUUUUUAUAAGUGGUUUAAAGUCUGUUAACACCUCGUGUUCGACUCCGGUGACGGUCUCGGGUUCGGGGUGUUACAUUCAGCUCUUUCUGAGUCAACAAAUACUUAAGACUCUUCUGGUCUGUGUAUAAAAUACACCUUUCUCCGUACAAGUAAUGUCUCCAAAUCUUAAGUGCAAAUAUCACUGCUGCCAACUCUAAAUCAUGAGUCAGAUAGUUCCCCUCAUGAGGCUUAAGCUGUCGUGAUGCAUAUGCAACCACCUUACCCUCUUGCAUUAACACGCAGCCCAAACCCACGUGUGAUGCGUCACUCUACACAGUAAAAUCCUUCCCAGACUCCAGCUGAAUUAACACAGGUGCUUCAGUCAGAACUUUCUUCAACUUCUCAAAAGCUUCCUACUGCUUCUUAGUCCAUACAAACGGUACUCCUUUCCGUAUGAGUUUUGUCAAAGGUGCUGCCAUCACAGAAAAACCUUCCACAAACCUUAUGUAGUAUCCUGCCAGUCCUAGGAAACUCCGUAUUUUCGACACUGACCUAGGCGGCUUCCACUCCAAAAUCGCUUCAAUUUUUCAAGGGUCCACCUUAAUCCCCUCAGCAGAGACCGCAUGUCCUAAGAAGGUUACCUCCCUCAACCAAAGUUCAGACUUGCUGAACUUCACAAAGAGUUCCUUCUUCUUUAACACUUCAGAAUGAUACGGAGAUGCUCAUCAUGUUUCGCUUCAGUUUCAGAAUAUACCAGGAUAUCGUUAAUAAAGACGACUACGAACUAAUCAAAAAAUGGUUGGAACACACGAUUCAUCAGAUCCAUAAAUGCUGCAGGAGCAUUCGUCAGUCCAAAUGGCAUAACUAGAAACUCGUAAUGACCAUACCGGGUCCUGAAUGCCGUCUUAUGGAUAUCUGCCUCAUUGACUCUUAGCUGAUGAUAUCCAGAUCGAAGGUCGAUCUUGGAAAAUACAGAAGCUCCUCUAAGCUGGUCGAACAGAUCAUCAAUCCUUGGCAGUGGAUACUUAUUCUUAAUCGUCAGUUUGUUCAACUGGGGAUAAUCAAUGCACAUCUGCAUCGUACCAUCUUUCUUUUUCACGAAUAGCACCGGUGCUCCCCAUGGAGACACGCUUGGCCUAAUGAAACCCCUAUCCAACAACUCUUGAAUUUGAGCCUUUAACUCCACUAACUCCUUCGGUGCCAUCCUAUACGGUGCGAUGGACACAGACGCCAUUCCAGGCAACAAAUCUAUUCCAAACUCAACUUCUUGGUUUGGAGGCAAUCCUGGAAGUUCCUCUAGAAAAACAUCUUGGAACUCCUUUACGGUACUAACCUUAUCCACUGUCAGUCCCUCCUCUUCUGACUAACUUACAAAUGCCAAAUAGGCCUCACAACCUUUCCGAAUCCACUUUUCGGCUCUUAAAGCCGACACCACAUUGGACAAAUAAUCCCUUCGCUCACCUAUCACUAUAACCUCCUCAUCCUUUGUGGUCUUUAACACCAUUUGUUUAGCAGCACAAUCCAGGGUCGCCUUAUUCUUAACAAGCCAGUCCAUUCCCAAAAUGAGAUCAAACUCUCCGAACGGUAACUCCAUCAGAUCUCCAGGGAAAAUCCUACCUUGAGUUUCUAAGGGUACAUCCCUAUACAGUUUGUCUACCCUAACCGAGUGACCCAAAGGACUUAGUAUAGAUACCCCACGCACAAUCUCCUCAGAGCAGUCCAAGUCAUCCAUAAUCCGUUUUGUGGCCUCCAACCAAUAUUCCGCCACAUUCGGGGCUAUACCAGACACGCCCCUAAAGAUCUCCGCUCCGUUUGCCCGAAGUCGUUCAGAAAUAGAUCCCCGAACUCCAUUGCCCGCACUUGCCCCGGCAACCCUUUCCAGAACACGAAGCAUUGCCUGUGAUAGGGCAUCAUCCCCGACACUGCGGUCAUGAGACUCUACCUCUAUUGUCAGUGGUACCGGUGCAUCCACCGCCGGCAUAUGUCUUGAAGACGAAGAUCUCGCUCGAGUACUUCCUCGGCUCCGUCCACGGCCUAUUGUACUCAUAUCGUAUUAUCUUGAUUACAAAUUUUUAUGCAUCAAUUAAUAUUCCAGUAUUUAUUACAGAUUUUUAUGAAUCAGACAGUAGUUCAGAGUUUGUUUUUGCAGAAUCGAAGUCUAACUACAGUUUCAGUCUCUUAUCAGAUUUUCCUAUGGUUUCAGUAUCAUCCUAUCUAGAGUAUCCUAGCAGGAUUUCAGUACAGACAGAUAAGUCAGAAUAAUAUUCAGAAGAGUUCAGAGUAAUACUUACAGGCUUGGGCUGGAGAUUCGGAAUGCCACAUUCUAAAGAUCUAAAUUUUGAAAAUCGUGUUUUUCACAAUCUUUAUAAUUUUUUUUUGUUUUUUUUGAAAAUCUUUUUUUUUGUAAACCCAUUCCACAGCUGAGUUGUUGCAACCUAGGCUCUGAUACCACUAAAUGUAGCACUCCUUACCCGGCCCAGACGUUAUGGCCGAAUCCGACAUGCCACAUCGAAGCAUUUAAAACAUUUCCGAUCCAGAAAGAAAACUUACUGAGUGUUUUAAAAGAUGAUUUCAUUAUAGGUUAAAGUGAAUGGAAGCUGUGCACCAGGUAGGAAACUGGAAAAGAGGAGGUGAGUCCAUUGGACUGCUUAAGUACCAAACUCCCUUCGGAUCCAAUCCUAGACAUGCAAACCGCCAUUGCCAUACCUUAACGUCAUGUAUAUUUCUAGGAAACCGAUUUGAUUAAGUCCUUUUUAGGAAAAGUCAUUAAUUUUGGAAAAUAUCUUCAUUGCAGAAGCUUUGCUUGUUUUCAUGUUAUUUUGAAAUCAAUUACUGUUUUUGAAAACACGCCCUAAAGCUAUCCAAUUUCAACAGUUAAAUAUAAAUAUUACCUAUCUUAAUAAAACAUAUAAAAACCAUCAAAAAUAAAUAAGCGACCUUAUUAAAUUUAAAAGCCCAAAACCUCAAACGUAAUUAAAAGGAUGUCCAGUUCACCAGAAGAAAAUCAAACUUUCAGAACGGGUGGCCACUCCGAAUUCCCUCACAGCUCCAAGCCCACUAUGGUUGGGGAUUACCUGCGUGGAUGAAAAUAAAAGGGGUGAGUUUGGGGAAACUCAGUGUGUAAAAUAACCCAACCAUAGUCUAAAUCAGCUCAACCCACAGAAACAGAAUAAGUUGGCCUUAGCCCAGAAUAAAAAUUCAGAAUAAAGCCCAUAGGCCCAUAACAGAACAAAACAUAUAUUACAUGUUUAUGCAGAAACCCAACCAUAUCCAACCGUAUACACCCCCGUACCAACCUUACACCGUGUGGGGAGACAACUCGACCCACCCAACCGCUACACACCAUAGAAUUUGCAGCAUGGCUGCCAGAACAGAUAAUGUAACAGAGUCACCAGAUAUAGAUAAUCGUGGCAGAGCCACCAGAACAGAUAUAUGUGGUAGAGCCACCAGAUCAGAUAAUCGUGGUAGAGCCACCAGAACAGAUAUAUGUGGCAGAGCCACCAGAUCAGAUAAUCGUGGUAGAGCCACCAGAACAGAUAUUUGUGGGAGAGCCACCAGAUCAGAUAUUUGUGGCAUAGCCACCAGGACGCUUCCUCCAUAAUAUAACCCAUGUCCACAUGCAACAGAAAUAAUAUGUCAUGGCAUACAUAUACAGAAACAGAACAUCAUGCUUUUCAGAAAAAAAAUAACCCUAGGGGUAUAACAGUAAUUUUGCAUACAUAGGGGUGUUCAAGUAAUUUCACUAUUCUUAAGGUUUUCAUACAUAACAUAGCCAUUUACGUACGAUCAGAAAAACUUACCGCGUUUUCUUACCAACUUGGGCCCGUUGGCCCAUUAUCCAAUUUUUGGCCCAUUAAGCCCAAAAAUAUCGAAAUGCAUGGAAUCGCGCACUCUGCAGUCUUAUCAAUUUAAUUUACCAUAUACAUCAAACUAUUAAUCUCAUGAGCAUUAGCACACUCGCAAGAUCUCAAAAUACCGACUUUUCAGCUUUUGCCGAUCUAGUCUAUAAGAGGCUGUUAGUUACACACCUGUUUGCGACGAUAUGCUGACGAGAUCCACACACGAACCGCCUUCAAUUUUCUUCCCCAAGUGACCGAACAUUCAAGAGCUUUCUCCUCUCCUUUCUCUUCUCUAACUUUCGGCUAUGAUGAACAAAGAUGGACAAAACUUGUUCUUUUCACCCCUU